This 72-nucleotide transfer RNA is filed under the name Ovis aries (sheep). It matches the Rfam family "tRNA". Rfam says of the family: Transfer RNA (tRNA) molecules are approximately 80 nucleotides in length. Their secondary structure includes four short double-helical elements and three loops (D, anti-codon, and T loops). The record is from Rfam by way of RNAcentral. Lineage: Eukaryota; Metazoa; Chordata; Mammalia; Artiodactyla; Bovidae.
UUCAUUCUGGCUCAGAUGGUAAAGCGUCUGCCUGCAAUGCAGGAGACCCAUGCUCAAUUCCUGGGUUAGGAA